UGGCGGCGUGCUAACACAUGCAAGUCGAACGCGAAAGGGGACUUCGGUCCUGAGUAAAGUGGCGCACGGGUGAGUAACGCGUAGAUAACCUGUCUUCAUGUCUGGAAUAAUACGCCGAAAGGGGUACUAAUACCGGAUAUUCUUGCUUUUCAUAAGUUAUGCAAGCAAAGGUGGCCUCUGCAUAUGCUACUGCAUGAAGAGGGGUCUGCGUACCAUUAGCUAGUAGGUGGGGUAAUGGCCUACCUAGGCGACGAUGGUUAGCGGGUCUGAGAGGAUGAUCCGCCACACUGGCACUGGAACACGGGCCAGACUCCUACGGGAGGCAGCAGUGAGGAAUAUUGCGCAAUGGGGGAAACCCUGACGCAGCGACGCCGCGUGAGUGAGGAAGGCCUUCGGGUCGUAAAGCUCUGUCAAGAGGAAAGAAGUGUACAAUGGCUAAUACCUGUUGUAUUUGACGGUACCUCUAAAGGAAGCACCGGCUAACUCCGUGCCAGCCGCCGC
Molecule: ribosomal RNA, 501 nt
Filed under: uncultured bacterium
Lineage: Bacteria
Description: bacterial SSU rRNA
Rfam family: Bacterial small subunit ribosomal RNA
Source: RNAcentral